This 139-nucleotide small nuclear RNA is filed under the name Triticum aestivum (bread wheat). RNAcentral describes it as "U2 spliceosomal RNA". The stretch from base 24 to 139 matches the Rfam family "U2 spliceosomal RNA". Rfam says of the family: U2 is a small nuclear RNA (snRNA) component of the spliceosome (involved in pre-mRNA splicing). Complementary binding between U2 snRNA (in an area lying towards the 5' end but 3' to hairpin I) and the branchpoint sequence (BPS) of the intron results the bulging out of an unpaired adenosine, on the BPS, which initiates a nucleophilic attack at the intronic 5' splice site, thus starting the first of two transesterification reactions that mediate splicing. Lineage: Eukaryota; Viridiplantae; Streptophyta; Magnoliopsida; Poales; Poaceae. The record is from Rfam by way of RNAcentral.
CUGUCUUGAUAGCGAAGCAUGAAGAUGCUUCGCGCCACCAAGAGUAGUAUCUGUUCUUAUCAGUUCAAAAUCUGAUGUGUGGGGCAUGUGCCCACAACGACGUUAAAUUUAUUUUUCACAGGGGCUAGGCGCACCCCAA